GAUUUUUGAUCAUGGCUCAGAUUGAACGCUAGAAAAAAGGCCUAACACAUGCAAGUCGAGCGGUAACAGAAAGUAGCUUGCUACUUUGCUGACGAGCGGCGGACGGGUGAGUAAUGCCUGGGAAUUUGCCCAUUCGAGGGGGAUAACAGUUGGAAACGACUGCUAAUACCGCAUACGCCCUACGGGGGAAAGGAGGGGACCUUCGGGCCUUCCGCGAAUGGAUAAGCCCAGGUGGGAUUAGCUAGUAGGUGAGGUAAUGGCUCACCUAGGCGACGAUCCCUAGCUGUUCUGAGAGGAUGAUCAGCCACACUGGGACUGAGACACGGCCCAGACUCCUACGGGAGGCAGCAGUGGGGAAUAUUGCACAAUGGGCGAAAGCCUGAUGCAGCCAUGCCGCGUGUGUGAAGAAGGCCUUCGGGUUGUAAAGCACUUUCAGCGAGGAGGAAAGGUUACUGGCUAAUAUCCAGUAGCUGUGACGUUACUCGCAGAAAAAGCACCGGCUAACUCCGUGCCAGCAGCCGCGGUAAUACGGAGGGUGCGAGCGUUAAUCGGAAUUACUGGGCGUAAAGCGUG
RNAcentral lists this ribosomal RNA (573 nucleotides) under Shewanella corallii. RNAcentral's name for it is "bacterial SSU rRNA". It matches the Rfam family "Bacterial small subunit ribosomal RNA", at positions 9 to 569 of the family's 1533-position model. The record is from RNAcentral. Lineage: Bacteria; Pseudomonadati; Pseudomonadota; Gammaproteobacteria; Alteromonadales; Shewanellaceae.